This 301-nucleotide ribosomal RNA is filed under the name uncultured bacterium. Its description in RNAcentral is "partial 16S ribosomal RNA". It matches the Rfam family "Bacterial small subunit ribosomal RNA", at positions 509 to 807 of the family's 1533-position model. The record is from RNAcentral.
CAGUAGCCACGGUAAUACGUAGGGUGCGAGCGUUAAUCGGAAUUACUGGGCGUAAAGCGUGCGCAGGCGGCUUCUUAAGUCGGAUGUGAAAUCCCUGAGCUUAACUUAGGAAUUUCAUUCGAUACUGGGAAGCUAGAGUAUGGGAGAGGAUGGUAGAAUUCCAGGUGUAGCGGUGAAAUGCGUAGAGAUCUGGAGGAAUACCGAUGGCGAAGGCAGCCAUCUGGCCUAAUACUGACGCUGAGGUACGAAAGCAUGGGGAGCAAACAGGAUUAGAUACCCCGGUAGUCCCUGUCUCUUAUAC